AGCAGUCGCCGCGGUAAUACGUAGGUGGCGAGCGUUGUCCGGAAUCAUUGGGCGUAAAGGGAGCGCAGGCGGGCAAGUAAGUCUUUCUUAAAAGUUCGGGGCUCAACCCCGUGAUGGGAAAGAAACUACAUGUCUUGAGUACAGGAGAGGAAAGCGGAAUUCCCAGUGUAGCGGUGAAAUGCGUAGAUAUUGGGAGGAACACCAGUGGCGAAGGCGGCUUUCUGGACUGCAACUGACGCUGAGGCUCGAAAGCCAGGGGAGCGAACGGGAUUAGAUACCCCCGUAGUCCCUGUCUCUUAUACA
RNAcentral lists this ribosomal RNA (303 nucleotides) under uncultured bacterium. RNAcentral describes it as "partial 16S ribosomal RNA". It matches the Rfam family "Bacterial small subunit ribosomal RNA", at positions 507 to 809 of the family's 1533-position model. The record is from RNAcentral.